GUGGUAUGGAUGUUUUCUGGAAUGACCCAAUGAUAGACUAGCUAACUACAAUAUAUUUAAACAUUACUCACUUUUCUUAUUUAGGUUGAAACUUUAAUGUGGACAAGAAUGAAACACAAGGUCUUUGGAUGUUCAAAUAGCUGGAGUAGUGGUGUACUGGCCAGGACCAGUAGUACCCCCUAGUAAGAGUACCCCUAGAAGUUUCAAGAUACUGAACAGCAGAGCAAAUGAGAUAUAGCCAAUGGAACAACAAAGUUAUUAGAACAGUUUAGACUUUAAAAUUAUUUAUUGUAAUUAAUUAUUAUUCUUUGAAAAAGUUAAAUUAAAUUACUUCAGCUGUGUUGUAAAUGUGGGAUAAUUUUGCAAAGAAAAAAGCAUGUGAAAUGACAAAGAGAAAUGCACAAAAAAUACUGAAUUUUAAGCCAAGGGCAAGGGUGCCUGAAGUACAGUAUGGCUUAACUCAGGGUGUCCCUUGUGUGUGGGGCAGGGGG
Non-coding RNA from Paramuricea clavata, 491 nucleotides. NCBI's taxonomy places the organism in Eukaryota, Metazoa, Cnidaria, Anthozoa, Malacalcyonacea, Plexauridae. The record is from the annotation of a GenBank genome assembly.